GUUGAACGCUGGCGGCGUGCCUAAUACAUGCAAGUCGAGCGAACGGACGAGACUUUUGCUUUUCUGAUGUUAGCGGCGGAUGGGUGAGUAACACGUGGCUAACCUACCUAUAAGACUGGGAUAACUUCGGGAAACCGGAUCUAAUAUCGGAUAAUAUUUUGAACGUCAUGGUUCAAAAGAGAAAGCCGGUCUUGCUGUCCCUUAUAGAUGGAUCCGCGCUGCAUUAGCUAGUUGGUACGGUAACGGCUUACCAAGGCAACGAUGCAUAGCCGACCUGAGAGGAUGAUCAGCCACACUGGAACUGAGACACGGUCCAGACUCCUACGGGAGGCAGCAGUAGGGAAUCUUCGGCAAUGGGCGAAAGCCUGACGGAGCAACGCCGCGUGAGUGAAGAAGGUCUUCGGAUCGUAAAGCUCUGUUAGUAGGGAAGAACAUAUGUGUGUGUAUCUGUGCACGUCUUGACGGUACCUAAUCAAAAAGCCACGGCUAACUACGUG
This 497-nucleotide ribosomal RNA is filed under the name uncultured bacterium. RNAcentral describes it as "partial 16S ribosomal RNA". It matches the Rfam family "Bacterial small subunit ribosomal RNA", at positions 28 to 507 of the family's 1533-position model. The record is from RNAcentral.